GAUGAACGCUGGCGGCGUGCCUAAUACAUGCAAGUCGAGCGAACAGACGAGGAGCUUGCUCCUCUGACGUUAGCGGCGGACGGGUGAGUAACACGUGGAUAACCUACCUAUAAGACUGGGAUAACUUCGGGAAACCGGAGCUAAUACCGGAUAAUAUAUUGAACCGCAUGGUUCAAUAGUGAAAGACGGUUUUGCUGUCACUUAUAGAUGGAUCCGCGCCGCAUUAGCUAGUUGGUAAGGUAACGGCUUACCAAGGCAACGAUGCGUAGCCGACCUGAGAGGGUGAUCGGCCUCACUGGAACUGAGACACGGUCCAGACUCCUACGGGAGGCAGCAGUAGGGAAUCUUCCGCAAUGGGCGAAAGCUUGACGGAGCAACGCCGCGUGAGUGAUGAAGGUCUUCGGAUCGUAAAACUCUGUUAUUAGGGAAGAACAAAUGUGUAAGUAACUAUGCACGUCUUGACGGUACCUAAUCAGAAAGCCACGGCUAACUACGUG
This 497-nucleotide ribosomal RNA is filed under the name uncultured bacterium. RNAcentral describes it as "partial 16S ribosomal RNA". It matches the Rfam family "Bacterial small subunit ribosomal RNA", at positions 28 to 507 of the family's 1533-position model. The record is from RNAcentral.